RNAcentral lists this ribosomal RNA (267 nucleotides) under uncultured Pseudomonas sp. RNAcentral's name for it is "partial 16S ribosomal RNA". It matches the Rfam family "Bacterial small subunit ribosomal RNA", at positions 1113 to 1381 of the family's 1533-position model. The record is from RNAcentral. Lineage: Bacteria; Pseudomonadati; Pseudomonadota; Gammaproteobacteria; Pseudomonadales; Pseudomonadaceae.
AGUACCAGCACGUUAUGGUGGGCACUCUAAGGAGACUGCCGGUGACAAACCGGAGGAAGUGGGGAUGACGUCAAGUCAUCAUGGCCCUUACGGCCUGGGCUACACACGUGCUACAAUGGUCGGUACAAAGGGUUGCCAAGCCGCGAGGUGGAGCUAAUCCCAUAAAACCGAUCGUAGUCCGGAUCGCAGUCUGCAACUCGACUGCGUGAAGUCGGAAUCGCUAGUAAUCGUGAAUCAGAAUGUCACGGUGAAUACGUUCCCGGCCUU